This 253-nucleotide ribosomal RNA is filed under the name uncultured bacterium. RNAcentral's name for it is "partial 16S ribosomal RNA". It matches the Rfam family "Bacterial small subunit ribosomal RNA", at positions 524 to 776 of the family's 1533-position model. The record is from RNAcentral.
UACGUAGGGUGCAAGCGUUGUCCGGAAUUAUUGGGCGUAAAGAGCUUGUAGGCGGUUUGUCGCGUCUGCUGUGAAAUUUCGGGGCUCAACCCCGAACUUGCAGUGGGUACGGGCAGACUAGAGUGUGGUAGGGGAGACUGGAAUUCCUGGUGUAGCGGUGAAAUGCGCAGAUAUCAGGAGGAACACCAAUAGCGAAGGCAGCUCGCUGGGACGUUACUGACACUGAGGCGCGAAAGCGUGGGGAGCGAACAGG